UAGUGGCGGAAGGGUUAGUAAUACAUGAAUAACUUGCCUUCAACCUGGGGAUAACGUCUGGAAACGGGCGCUAAUACCGAAUGAGGUAGUUGAGGAAAACUUUAAACUAUCAAAGUGGGGGACUCUGAAAAGAGCCUUGCGGUUGAAGAGAGGUUCAUGGGAUAUCAGCUAGUUGGUAGGGUAAUGGCCUACCAAGGCUAAGACGUCUAGGCGGAUUGAGAGAUUGACCGCCAACAUUGGGACUGAGAUACUGCCCAGACUCCUACGGGAGGCUGCAGUCGAGGAUCAUUCGCAAUGAGCGAAAGCUUGACGAUGCGACGCUGUGUGAACGAUGAAGGCCUUCGGGUUGUAAAGUUCUUUCGCUUGGGAGCAAGAGAAAUUAGUGAAUAACUAAGUGAUUUGAGAGUACCAGGUAAAGAAGCACCGGCUAACUCCGUGCCAGCAGCUGCGGUAAUACGGAGGGUGCAAGCAUUAAUCGGAUUUAUUGGGCGUAAAGGGCGCGUAGGCGGACUGCCAAGUCAGAUGUGAAAUACCAAAGCUCAACUUUGGUGCUGCAUUUGAAACUGGUAGACUUGAGGGUUGACGGAGAAAAUGGAAUUCCACGUGUAGCGGUGAAAUGCGUAGAUAUGUGGAAGAACACCUGUGGCGAAAGCGAUUUUCUAGUUAAUACCUGACG
This 676-nucleotide ribosomal RNA is filed under the name uncultured Chlamydiales bacterium. Its description in RNAcentral is "partial 16S ribosomal RNA". It matches the Rfam family "Bacterial small subunit ribosomal RNA", at positions 93 to 745 of the family's 1533-position model. The record is from RNAcentral. Lineage: Bacteria; Pseudomonadati; Chlamydiota; Chlamydiia; Chlamydiales.